UUUUUACAGGACAUACAUUGUGUAGAAGAUGACGAGUGCCUAUCAUCAAACAUAGACUACUUUUCGGAUCAACAAUUUAAGGACACAAAAGAUGAUGACAACAUUGACUUCACACGUCGAUAGAGGUUGAGGACAUAGAAGAUGACGAGUGCCUAUCAUCGAACAUAGACUACUCUUCGGAUCAACAAUUUAAGGUUAGUAAAUUUCAUUUUUGGAUGGGAUAGGUAAAUUGAAAAAAAAUCUAAUCUAGUUUUAUUUCUUUUCUUUUUACAGGACAUAUAAGGUGAUGAGCAACUCUACACAGACAUUAACUUCACACGUCGAUAUAGAUGUUAAGGACAUAGAAGAUGAUGAGCGACUCUAACCAGACAUUGACUUCAUACGUAGAUAGAAGUUAAGGACAUAGAUGAGUGCCUACCAACGAACAUUGGCUAUUCUUUGGUUCAACAAUUUAAGGUUAGUAAAUUUCAACUUUUUUGGAGGGGAUAGGAAAAUUGAAAAAAAAAUCUUAUCUAGUUUUUUUUUUUUUUUUCAGGACAUAGAAGAUGAUGAGUGCCUCCAAUCAGACAUUGACUUCAUACGUAGAUAGAAGUUAAGAACAUAGAAGAUGAUGAUGAGUGCCUACCAACGAACAUAGACUACUCUUCGGAUCAACAAUUUAAGGUGAGUAAAAUUUAUUUUUUUGGAGGGGAUAGGAAAAUUGAGAAAAAAACUAAUCUCGUGAUAUUUCUCUUUACAGGACAUAGAAGAUGAUGAGUAACUCUACACAGACAUUGACUUCACACGUUGAUAGAAGUUGAGGUUAGUAAACUUUCUUAUUUUUUUGGAUGGUGUAGGUAAAUUGAAAAAGAUCUAAUCUGAUUCUCAUAUUUUUUACAGGACAUAGAAGAUGAUGAGUGCCUACCAUCGAACAUAGACUACUCAUCGGAUCAACAAUUUAAGGUUAGUAAAUUUUGAUUUUUGAAGAUGAUAGGAAAAUUGAAAAAAAAACCUAAUCUAGUUUUCUUUUUACAGGCCAUAGAAAAUAAUGAGUGCCUACCAUCGAAUAUAGACUGCUCUUUGGAUCAACAAUUUAAGGUUAGUAAAUUUUAUUUUUUUG
RNAcentral lists this long non-coding RNA (1099 nucleotides) under Lingula anatina. Its description in RNAcentral is "uncharacterized LOC106169003, transcript variant X3". The record is from RNAcentral. Lineage: Eukaryota; Metazoa; Brachiopoda; Lingulata; Lingulida; Lingulidae.